This 497-nucleotide ribosomal RNA is filed under the name uncultured bacterium. RNAcentral describes it as "partial 16S ribosomal RNA". It matches the Rfam family "Bacterial small subunit ribosomal RNA", at positions 28 to 507 of the family's 1533-position model. The record is from RNAcentral.
GAUGAACGCUGGCGGCGUGCCUAAUACAUGCAAGUCGAGCGAACGGACGAGAAGCUUGCUUCUCUGAUGUUAGCGGCGGACGGGUGAGUAACACGUGGAUAACCUACCUAUAAGACUGGGAUAACUUCGGGAAACCGUAGCUAAUACCGGAUAAUAUUUUGAACCGCAUGGUUCAAAAGUGAAAGACGGUCUUGCUGUCACUUAUAGAUGGAUCCGCGCUGCAUUAGCUAGUUGGUAAGGCAACGGCUUACCAAGGCAACGAUGCAUAGCCGACCUGAGAGGGUGAUCGGCCACACUGGAACUGAGACACGGUCCAGACUCCUACGGGAGGCAGCAGUAGGGAAUCUUCCGCAAUGGGCGAAAGCCUGACGGAGCAACGCCGCGUGAGUGAUGAAGGUCUUCGGAUCGUAAAACUCUGUUAUUAGGGAAGAACAUAUGUGUAAGUAACUGUGCACAUCUUGACGGUACCUAAUCAGAAAGCCACGGCUAACUACGUA